UUGGUUUUUGGUUUCGUUUGGCUACUGAGAUGGUAACGUAAUUCGCAGGAUCUACGCCGUGUGAUUUAGGUUAUGGUAUUCCCAAUGUCCGUUUUCUAAGAGAAUAAGUUGCAUCUGUAACGUCAUGUAGACUGAAUAUGCGUUGUCAGUUAGGUCAGUUAAAGUAAUGCUUUGCCGUGAGCAUUAUUACGUAUAUAUCAUGUAGCAUAGGCAUGACCAAAAGAAAUCACGAUUUGAAGAGUCGACUUGAAUUAACCUUUUUGGUACUUGCGUUCAUUUCACAUGAUCGGGAUUUUAUCUAAUAGAUUGAAUAGAGUAAAUUAGGGAGCAAUUACCAAGCACGCCCGUUGCGAAUCGCGCUCCAGGCGCGGACUAUAUCCACGAUCACCACCAUCACAACGUAUCGUGAGGAUAUUCGUGGUUUUACUCAGUUCCUCCAGGCAAGUGUGAGAUAGUCUUAUACCUAACAUGAAGUCACACCUUGCGAACCCAUGAACAUAUCAUGGAUUUGAUUAAAUCGGAACCUAAUUCAGACAGUGAGAUGUGUCUUACAUCUUCUGAGAGUGGAAGCCAGCUGAUUCAUGUGAAACAGGAGGAGGUGCCUCCA
This is a long non-coding RNA of Cryptotermes secundus, 607 nucleotides long. RefSeq lists it as uncharacterized. Lineage: Eukaryota; Metazoa; Arthropoda; Insecta; Blattodea; Kalotermitidae. The transcript has 2 exons. The record is from RefSeq and is a predicted model, not a curated record.